Molecule: ribosomal RNA, 414 nt
Filed under: uncultured bacterium
Lineage: Bacteria
Description: bacterial SSU rRNA
Rfam family: Bacterial small subunit ribosomal RNA
Source: RNAcentral
AGUGAACGCUGGCGGCAGGCCUAAUACAUGCAAGUCGAACGGCAGCACAGCAGAGCUUGCUCUGUGGGUGGCGAGUGGCGGACGGGUGAGGAAUACAUGGGAAUCUGCCCAGUCGUGGGGGAUAACGUAGGGAAACUUACGCUAAUACCGCAUGCGCCCUUCGGGGGAAAGCCGGGGACCUUCGGGCCUGGCGCGAUUGGAUGAGCCCAUGUCGGAUUAGCUAGUUGGCGGGGUAAUGGCCCACCAAGGCGACGAUCCGUAGCUGGUCUGAGAGGAUGAUCAGCCACACUGGAACUGAGACACGGUCCAGACUCCUACGGGAGGCAGCAGUAGGGAAUAUUGGACAAUGGGCGCAAGCCUGAUCCAGCCAUGCCGCGUGAGUGAAGAAGGCCCUCGGGUUGUAAAGCUCUUUGU